GGGCCAUGGCUCAGUGACAGAGUGUCCCCUUUUCAUACAGAAGGUCCCGGGUUCAAUCCCUGGCAACUCCA
This 71-nucleotide transfer RNA is filed under the name Sphaerodactylus townsendi. RNAcentral's name for it is "tRNA-Glu". The record is from RNAcentral. Lineage: Eukaryota; Metazoa; Chordata; Lepidosauria; Squamata; Sphaerodactylidae.